GUACACUCCUGCGGGAGGCAGCAGUGGGGAAUUUUGGACAAUGGGGGCAACCCUGAUCCAGCAAUGCCGCGUGAGUGAAGAAGGCCUUCGGGUUGUAAAGCUCUUUUGUCAGGGAAGAAACGGUGGUGGCGAAUAACUACUACUAAUGACGGUACCUGAAGAAUAAGCACCGGCUAACUACGUGCCAGCAGCCGCGGUAAUACGUAGGGUGCAAGCGUUAAUCGGAAUUACUGGGCGUAAAGCGUGCGCAGGCGGUUGUGUAAGUCAGAUGUGAAAUCCCCGGGCUCAACCUGGGAAUUGCAUUUGAGACUGCACGGCUAGAGUGUGUCAGAGGGGGGUAGAAUUCCACGUGUAGCAGUGAAAUGCGUAGAUAUGUGGAGGAAUACCGAUGGCGAAGGCAGCCCCCUGGGAUAACACUGACGCUCAUGCACGAAAGCGUGGGGAGCAAACAGGAUUAGAAACCCGUGUAGUCCCA
RNAcentral lists this ribosomal RNA (475 nucleotides) under uncultured organism. Its description in RNAcentral is "partial 16S ribosomal RNA". It matches the Rfam family "Bacterial small subunit ribosomal RNA", at positions 331 to 797 of the family's 1533-position model. The record is from RNAcentral.